UCAUCACCAAAGGAUGCAGUAC
This 22-nucleotide unclassified non-coding RNA is filed under the name Mus musculus (house mouse). Its description in RNAcentral is "oocyte_clustered_small_RNA6097". The record is from RNAcentral. Lineage: Eukaryota; Metazoa; Chordata; Mammalia; Rodentia; Muridae.